GCGCUCGUAGCCUAGUCCGGACCAAGGCAUCGGCCUUCUAAGCCGAGGAUCCCGGGUUCGAAUCCCGGCGAGCGCG
RNAcentral lists this transfer RNA (76 nucleotides) under Thermoplasmatales archaeon SW_10_69_26. RNAcentral's name for it is "tRNA-Arg". It matches the Rfam family "tRNA". From Rfam's summary of the family: Transfer RNA (tRNA) molecules are approximately 80 nucleotides in length. Their secondary structure includes four short double-helical elements and three loops (D, anti-codon, and T loops). The record is from RNAcentral. Lineage: Archaea; Methanobacteriati; Thermoplasmatota; Thermoplasmata; Thermoplasmatales.